AUUGAACGCUGGCGGCAGGCCUAACACAUGCAAGUCGAGCGGAUGAAGGGAGCUUGCUCCUGGAUUCAGCGGCGGACGGGUGAGUAAUGCCUAGGAAUCUGCCUGGUAGUGGGGGAUAACGUCCGGAAACGGGCGCUAAUACCGCAUACGUCCUGAGGGAGAAAGUGGGAGAUCUUCGGACCUCACGCUAUCAGAUGAGCCUAGGUCGGAUUAGCUAGUUGGUGGGGUAAAGGCCUACCAAGGCGACGAUCCGUAACUGGUCUGAGAGGAUGAUCAGUCACACUGGGACUGAGACACGGUCCAGACUCCUACGGGAGGCAGCAGUGGGGAAUAUUGGACAAUGGGCGAAAGCCUGAUCCAGCCAUGCCGCGUGUGUGAAGAAGGUCUUCGGAUUGUAAAGCACUUUAAGUUGGGAGGAAGGGCAGUAAGUUAAUACCUUGCUGUUUUGACGUUACCAACAGAAUAAGCACCGGCUAACUUCGUG
RNAcentral lists this ribosomal RNA (484 nucleotides) under uncultured bacterium. RNAcentral's name for it is "partial 16S ribosomal RNA". It matches the Rfam family "Bacterial small subunit ribosomal RNA", at positions 30 to 507 of the family's 1533-position model. The record is from RNAcentral.